AUGCAUCCCGUGUCGACGCAACGCCUGGCGCCCGUCCCCAGCGCCAACGCCAGCGCCAACCACCAGCGCGCGCUUCUCCCGCCGUCUCCUCUGCAGCUUCGGCCACGGACCAGCACCAGGUCCUCGGCGUCCGCCAGAUCGGCGCCGCGCGCCGUCUCGCCCGCGACCCCAACCACCGCAGCCACCAACGACCCGGACGCCGGCGCGCAGCCAGAUAAGUGGGCGGAGUUCGCGGCGCGGGUGUCCGGCGAGUGGGACGGCUUCGGCGCGGACUUCACGGUGGCCGGCGAGCCCGUGGAGCUGCCGGCCAACGUGGUCCCGGACGCGUACCGCGAGUGGGGGGUCCAGGUCUUCGACUGGCAGACGCAGUGCCCCACCCUGGCCGACCCCGCCGCGCCGGGCGCGCUCCACUACCGCCUCGUCCGCCUCCUCCCCACCGUCGGCUGCGAGGCCGACGCCGCCACCGUGCACACCUCCCACCAGCGCCACGUCUCCUCCGCCACCGCCUUCACCUACAGCGGCGGGGGCUCCUACGUGGCCACGUGGCCCAAGGGCCCCUCGGCCGUGCUGGAGGUGGAGCACUGCAUCUGCCACCCGGACAACGCGGAGGUGCGGGUCAGGCUGGUGCAGACGGUGGCGCUGGCCAAGGACGCGGCCCGGCUGCGCGGCGUCAAGGUGUUCUCCGAGCAGUGGUACGGCCCCUACCGCAACGGCGACCAGCUCGGCGGCUGCGCGCUCCGCGAGUCCGCCUUCGCCGCCGGUGAGAGGCUCGCCGCGUCGGAGGUGGCGGGGCAGUGGGAGAGCGCCGCCAGGUUUUCCGGCGCGCUGGACCCCGUGACGGGCAAGUUCGCGGGGCUGGAGCCGGAUCAGGAGCCGCGGAGGACAGCGAGGGACGGUGCCGGCGUGGUGACGCUGCUGCCGAAGCAGCUGUGGAGCUCGCUCAAGGUGAGCGGCGACGGCGAGGACGGCGAGGUGGUGUGCGAGGUCGGGUGGCUGCUGGGCCACGGCAGCGCGGUCACGUCGACGUGCGUCCUCUCUAGAGACGGAGACGUCAAGGAGAUAGCUGCGGCGCAGGAGACCCGGGUGUCGGAGGCCACCUGA
Molecule: ribosomal RNA, 1101 nt
Filed under: Triticum aestivum (bread wheat)
Lineage: Eukaryota; Viridiplantae; Streptophyta; Magnoliopsida; Poales; Poaceae
Description: partial small subunit ribosomal RNA
Source: RNAcentral